This 468-nucleotide ribosomal RNA is filed under the name uncultured bacterium. RNAcentral describes it as "partial 16S ribosomal RNA". It matches the Rfam family "Bacterial small subunit ribosomal RNA", at positions 28 to 507 of the family's 1533-position model. The record is from RNAcentral.
GACGAACGCUGGCGGCGUGCUUAACACAUGCAAGUCGAACGGAAAGGCCCUGCUUUUGUGGGGUGCUCGAGGUGCGAACUGGUGAGUAACACGUGAGUAACCUGUCCCUGACUUUGGGGUAACUUCAGGCAACUGGGUCUCAUACCGGAUAGGAGCUCCUGCUGCAUGGUGGGGGUUGGAAAGUUUCGGCGGUUGGGGAUGGACUCGCGGCUCAUCGGCUUGUUGGUUGGGUAGUGGAUGACCAAGGCUUGGACGGGUAGCCGGCCUGGGAGGGUAACCGGAUCCGUUGCGCCGGGACUACGGCCCAGACUAGUAUCGGACGCAACGGUGGGGUGUAUUGCACAAUGGGCGGAAGCCUGAUGUGGUCAAGCCGCGUGCGGGAUGACGGCCAUGGGGUUGUAUACCGAUUUCGCCUUUGCCGAAGCGUGAGUGACGGUACCGGGUAAAGAAGCACCGGCUAACUACGUG